AUUUAUUAUGAAUUUAUUUUCGAUGAUAGAGCUGUUCGUUAAUUGAGCUUUCGAUUCAAUGAUUGAUAUGAUUAAAUAUAAUAAAAUUUAUUUAAAAAUUAAAUAUUUUAAUUUUUAAUAUUAUUAACCGAACGAUCAAAAAGUUAUAAAAUUUAUAAUUUUUAUAGUUAAUAUAAUGUGUUUGUUUUUUUAACUGUAUAAAAGAAUUCAAGUUAACUAAUUUUUUAUUAAAUUUUUUUAAGCUAUUUAAAAUAAGAUCUAGAUUGUAGAUUUUAAAUACAAAAAUUAUAUCACUAUUUUUUAAAGAAUAUUUAUUUUCAGCUGGUCAUUUUUUAUUCACUUUCUCGACGAGAAAACAAUAUUGAAAAAGUGUAAAUUUUGAUUUUUAAAUAAUUUAAAUGAUUUAGAUAAUGUCGAUUAUCAAUUUGAAAGUUAUAUCAUCGAAAAUAAAUUGAUAAUAAACGAACAGUAUUCUAGCGAAACUCGUAUUAUUAUUAUUAUUAUUUUACUACUCUAUUUGAGCUAUUUGAUAUAUUUGCAUUAUACUUUAUUAAUUUUUUAUUUUGUAUGCCACAAUUUUUUUCUUCAAAAAAAAAUAUAAAUAUUAUACUAUUUAUUCUAUUUUCUAAAAUUGCAAUUGCAAUAGUUUUAUCUUUUUACCUACCGUCCCUAGAGCAAGUGGCAAAUGACUGGUGAUUGAUAUCCAAGAUCCAAGUUCGAAUUAUAGUUGAUUCAUAUUUUCAGUUAAGUUUAUUUCUAAAUGAAAUAAAUGAAGCGGGUAGCGUGCUACCUAUCUCUCUCUCAAAAAAAAAAAGGUUUUAUCUUUUUUUCUCAAAAUAAUUGCUAAUCAAUUUUUUAAGAUGGGAAUCACUAAUCAGGCCAUAUAUUUUAAUAGUUUUUAAAUUUUAUUCUGAAAUUAAAAUUCUAUUCGAAAACUGAAAACACAUUAAUCAAACAUAAUUUUUUAAAAAAUUUAUUAUUAUUAUUAUU
This 990-nucleotide long non-coding RNA is filed under the name Ananas comosus (pineapple). RNAcentral's name for it is "long non-coding RNA (ACOM_LNC008024)". Lineage: Eukaryota; Viridiplantae; Streptophyta; Magnoliopsida; Poales; Bromeliaceae. The record is from RNAcentral.